GUACACUCCUACGGGAGACAGCAGUGGGGAAUUUUGGACAAUGGGCGAAAGCCUGAUCCAGCAAUGCCGCGUGAGUGAAGAAGGCCUUCGGGUUGUAAAGCUCUUUUGUCAGGGAAGAAACGGUGAGAGCUAAUAUCUCUUGCUAAUGACGGUACCUGAAGAAUAAGCACCGGCUAACUACGUGCCAGCAGCCGCGGUAAUACGUAGGGUGCAAGCGUUAAUCGGAAUUACUGGGCGUAAAGCGUGCGCAGGCGGUUUUGUAAGUCUGAUGUGAAAUCCCCGGGCUCAACCUGGGAAUUGCAUUGGAGACUGCAAGGCUAGAAUCUGGCAGAGGGGGGUAGAAUUCCACGUGUAGCAGUGAAAUGCGUAGAUAUGUGGAGGAACACCGAUGGCGAAGGCAGCCCCCUGGGUCAAGAUUGACGCUCAUGCACGAAAGCGUGGGGAGCAAACAGGAUUAGAAACCCGAGUAGUCCCA
Molecule: ribosomal RNA, 475 nt
Filed under: uncultured organism
Description: partial 16S ribosomal RNA
Rfam family: Bacterial small subunit ribosomal RNA
Source: RNAcentral